This 493-nucleotide ribosomal RNA is filed under the name uncultured bacterium. RNAcentral describes it as "partial 16S ribosomal RNA". It matches the Rfam family "Bacterial small subunit ribosomal RNA", at positions 30 to 523 of the family's 1533-position model. The record is from RNAcentral.
AUUGAACGCUGGCGGCAUGCCUUACACAUGCAAGUCGAACGGUAACAGGUUAAGCUGACGAGUGGCGAACGGGUGAGUAAUGUAUCGGAACGUGCCCAGUCGUGGGGGAUAACUGCUCGAAAGAGCAGCUGAUACCGCAUACGACCUGAGGGUGAAAGCGGGGGAUCGCAAGACCUCGCGCGAUUGGAGCGGCCGAUAUCAGAUUAGGUAGUUGGUGGGGUAAAGGCCUACCAAGCCUACGAUCUGUAGCUGGUCUGAGAGGACGACCAGCCACACUGGGACUGAGACACGGCCCAGACUCCUACGGGAGGCAGCAGUGGGGAAUUUUGGACAAUGGACGCAAGUCUGAUCCAGCCAUGCCGCGUGCGGGAAGAAGGCCUUCGGGUUGUAAACCGCUUUUGUCAGGGAAGAAAAGGUUCUGGUUAAUACCUGGGACUCAUGACGGUACCUGAAGAAUAAGCACCGGCUAACUACGUGCCAGCCGCCGCCGUAC